This 181-nucleotide small RNA is filed under the name Gopherus agassizii (Agassiz's desert tortoise). Its description in RNAcentral is "TUC338 (ENSGAGG00000008013.1)". Lineage: Eukaryota; Metazoa; Chordata; Testudines; Testudinidae. The record is from RNAcentral.
GUGAAUUUAGUGGAGGUAAAAUGUGCCAGUUCUUCUAUUUCCCCACAGAUCAGCUACACCACAGGCAGCAGCAGCGUUCCCACACACUGCCCAGACAGUGUGCCUUGACCUGCCCUGGAGGGACCUUCCUAGGGCAAGAGAACAUUGGGUAAUCUCCAUGUCCAUUCAGUUCUUGCCCUUU